RNAcentral lists this ribosomal RNA (468 nucleotides) under uncultured bacterium. RNAcentral describes it as "partial 16S ribosomal RNA". It matches the Rfam family "Bacterial small subunit ribosomal RNA", at positions 28 to 507 of the family's 1533-position model. The record is from RNAcentral.
GACGAACGCUGGCGGCGUGCUUAACACAUGCGAGUCGAACGGAAAGGCCCUGCUUUUGUGGGGUGCUCGAGUGGCGAACGGGUGAGUAACACGUGAGUAACCUGCCCUUGACUUUGGGAUAACUUCAGGAAACUGGGGCUAAUACCGGAUAGGAGCUCCUGCUGCAUGGUGGGGGUUGGAAAGUUUCGGCGGUUGGGGAUGGACUCGCGGCUUAUCAGCUUGUUGGUGGGGUAGUGGCUUACCGAGGCUUUGACGGGUAGCCGGCCUGAGAGGGUGACCGGCCACAUUGGGACUGAGAUACGGCCCAGACUCCUACGGGAGGCAGCAGUGGGGAAUAUUGCACAAUGGGCGGAAGCCUGAUGCAGCAACGCCGCGUGCGGGAUGACGGCCUUCGGGUUGUAAACCGCUUUCGCCUGUGACGAAGCGUGAGUGACGGUAAUGGGUAAAGAAGCACCGGCUAACUACGUG